This 730-nucleotide long non-coding RNA is filed under the name Pongo abelii (Sumatran orangutan). RNAcentral's name for it is "lincRNA". The record is from RNAcentral. Lineage: Eukaryota; Metazoa; Chordata; Mammalia; Primates; Hominidae.
UGGGUUUUGGACAGUUUUUUUUUUUUUUUUUUUUUUUUUUUUGAGACAGAUUUUCGCUCUGUUGCCCAGCUUCUUUACGCAUACUGUUUUAUCAGCAAGGUCUUUGUGACGUGUAUCUUGUGCCGACCUCCUAUCUCAUCCUGUGUCUAGGAACGCCUUAACCUCCUGGAAUGCAGCUCACAUGCCAGAAACUAUACAAUCCACCCCCUUUGAAGGAGUUUGUUCAUUUAAAAAAAAAAAAAAAGGGAAAUUUGGGUGCAGACAGGCACACAAGGAGAACACCAAGUCAACACGAAGGCAGAAGUUGGAGUGAUGAGUCUACAAGCCAAGGAUUGCCAGCAAUUAAUCAGAGGCCAGGACAGCAACCUGGGGCAGCCCUCUACAUGGUACCAACUCCAUCAACACCUUGAUCUCAGACUUCCAACCUCCAGAACUAUAUCACAGUCUGGAAGUCUGCUCACAGUCUUAAGGUUGGCAUAUCCCCUAGAGCCCCCAGACUCCUCAUCCCAUGGGGACCAACAUGGCCAGGGGAGGGCCAGAGCAGGGCCUCCUAAAUCACAGACCCCAGGGCAGGAGCUCCUCUGGUCUGAAUCUAAGGGUGGUAUUUUCAACAAUUACUAAAUUUUUAUCCUAGGCUCUCCAAAUGGGAGUCUAAAGGUCUCAAAACAUGGUCCAGAAGAAGUAUGUAAAAAUGUAAAUUCCUAGGCCCCAACCCAGACCUAUGAAUCAG